This is a long non-coding RNA of Arabidopsis thaliana (thale cress), 379 nucleotides long. RefSeq annotates it as other RNA. Lineage: Eukaryota; Viridiplantae; Streptophyta; Magnoliopsida; Brassicales; Brassicaceae. The record is from RefSeq. The transcript has a single exon.
UUGGUUUCUUUUGGCCCUCCAUCACUAUUCACUACAAUCUCUCCAUAUCAAAAAACUAAACACAUGUUCAUAUUUUUAGGCUAUCUUGUGUGUAUAUAAUAGAUGUUCAAAUAUAUAUAAUGAAGAGAUUUGUGGAGCCAGAGAUGGAAUAUGAUGAAAAUGAAAUGGCAAGUUAUCUCCCUGCAAGAUUUUGACACAAAAUAUUAAUGCAACACAGAGUUCCCAUACCACAAUAACAUUGGUCUCAAGUAACUUCCAAUUAUAGUAACAAGCAGACACAUUGCAGGCAUAUGAGCAUCAUGAGUUAAGUAGCCUCUAUUCAAUUCCUCUUUCUCUCCCUCUUAAUCAUGAAACUACCUCUUUGUCUCUUUCUUUCUCU